CUUCAGCCGCCCUCGCCAAGCUCGGGUCAUGGAGAUGCUGCUCUCAGCCACCGCUCAACACCACCGCCACUCGACAUCCUGCCUGUCACCUGUGACCUCCGACGUCAGCGGAAAUGCGACGGCGCCGGAAGUGUUGAUCCAGGCCCAGAAAAGCAGCAAAACCGGAUGAAGCGAUGCUGUGGUUGACCUCAGGACCAGAUGCAUUUACCAAUGACUAGCGCCAACCAAUCAGUAGGGACCACACCCUGACUCAAUACACUCAUUUUGGUGAAUCAGCGUAUUAAAGGACACACCUGUAAAGCUGAUGAAUAUUCUAUUGAGAUCCUACCUUGAGGCUCCCCUAAAAUUCUAGCCUUUAGGAAACUGAUAAAAACCCUAAGACAACAGACACUGCACAUGCUCUCCCUGAAGCAUGCCCCUGCCUUCUUUCUCCUAAGCUCUAAAGUUCCCACAAGACUUAAAACCAGGGGAGCAGUGGGCAGCUCCAACUUGUCACUGGCUAACCCCCCUGAACCUGGUUCCAAGGUCUCUUCUUUGCCUCUGUAACUUGAUUCCUGAGACCACAUAGGCCAGCUGUCUCACUUCUGCCUCUGAGACUUUCUUUCUGAGCAGUCCACUUGAAUCUUCUCUUCCAGUGUAUUUUUGCUUUGUAUGUUAAGUAAACUUCUUGUGUUACA
Myotis myotis is the source of this 677-nucleotide long non-coding RNA. RefSeq lists it as uncharacterized. Lineage: Eukaryota; Metazoa; Chordata; Mammalia; Chiroptera; Vespertilionidae. The transcript is spliced from 2 exons. The record is from RefSeq and is a predicted model, not a curated record.